This 1202-nucleotide ribosomal RNA is filed under the name metagenome. RNAcentral's name for it is "bacterial SSU rRNA". It matches the Rfam family "Bacterial small subunit ribosomal RNA", at positions 298 to 1487 of the family's 1533-position model. The record is from RNAcentral.
GGGUGACCGGCCACACUGGGACUGAGACACGGCCCAGACUCCUACGGGAGGCAGCAGUCGAGAGGCUUCGGCAAUGGGGGAAACCCUGACCGAGCGACGCCGCGUGGACGAUGAAGUAUUUCGGUAUGUAAAGUCCUGUCAUAUGGGAUGAAAAAUUGAUUGGUUAAUAUCCUUUCGAUCUGACAGUACCAUAAGAGGAAGCUCCGGCUAACUCCGUGCCAGCAGCCGCGGUAAUACGGGGGGAGCGAGCGUUAUUCGGAUUCAUUGGGCGUAAAGGGUUCGUAGGCGGUCUGUUAAGUCAGAGGUGAAAUCUAACGGCUCAACCGUUAACCUGCCUUUGAAACUGGCAGACUUGAGUAUUGGAGAGGAAAGCGGAAUUCCUGGUGUAGCGGUGAAAUGCGUGGAUAUCAAGAGGAACACCCGUGGCGAAGGCGGCUUUCUGGCCAAAUACUGACGCUGAGGAACGAAAGCUAGGGGAGCAAACGGGAUUAGAUACCCCGGUAGUCCUAGCCGUAAACGAUGGGCACUAGGUGUAGGAGGUAUCGACCCCUCUUGUGCCGCAGUUAACGCAUUAAGUGCCCUGCCUGGGGAGUACGAUCGCAAGAUUGAAACUCAAAGGAAUUGACGGGGGCCCGCACAAGCGGUGGAGCAUGUGGUUUAAUUCGAUGAUACGCGAAGAACCUUACCGGGACUUGACAUGUAGUUGCCAGGCAUGGAAACAUGUCCUCUCCUUCGGGAGCGAUUACACAGGUGCUGCAUGGCUGUCGUCAGCUCGUGUCGUGAGAUGUUGGGUUAAGUCCCGCAACGAGCGCAACCCUUAUCCUUAGUUGCCAUCAGGUUAUGCUGGGAACUCUAAGGAGACUGCCGGUGAUAAACCGGAGGAAGGUGGGGAUGACGUCAAGUCCUCAUGGCCCUUACGUCCCGGGCUACACACGUGCUACAAUGGCAGAUACAGAGGGCAGCAAGACCGCGAGGUGGAGCGAAUCCCAGAAAAUCUGUCUCAGUACGGAUUGCAGUCUGCAACUCGACUGCAUGAAGGCGGAAUCGCUAGUAAGCGCGGAUCAGCAGGCCGCGCUGAAUACGUUCCCGGGCCUUGUACACACCGCCCGUCAAGCGAUGGAAGCUGGUGGUACCCGAAGUCGGUGACCUAACCCGUAAGGGAAGGAACCGCCUAAGGUAAAACUAGUGACUGGCGCUAAGUC